RNAcentral lists this ribosomal RNA (429 nucleotides) under Bacteroidota bacterium. RNAcentral's name for it is "Bacteroidetes bacterium partial 16S ribosomal RNA". It matches the Rfam family "Bacterial small subunit ribosomal RNA", at positions 355 to 776 of the family's 1533-position model. Lineage: Bacteria; Pseudomonadati; Bacteroidota. The record is from RNAcentral.
UAGGGAAUCUUCCGCAAUGGACGCAAGUCUGACGGAGCAACGCCGCGUGAGUGAAGAAGGAUUUCGGUUCGUAAAACUCUGUUGUUAGAGAAGAACAGCGCAUAGAGUAACUGUUAUGCGUGUGACGGUAUCUAACCAGAAAGCCACGGCUAACUACGUGCCAGCAGCCGCGGUAAUACGUAGGUGGCAAGCGUUGUCCGGAUUUUUUGGGCGUAAAGCGAGCGCAGGCGGUCAAUUAAGUCUGAUGUGAAAGCCCCCGGCUCAACCGGGGAGGGUCAUUGGAAACUGGUUGACUUGGGUGAAGAAGAGGAGAGUGGAAUUCCAUGUGGAGCGGUGAAAUGCGUAGAUAUAUGGAGGAACACCAGUGGCGAAGGCGACUCUAUGGUCUGUAAAUGAAGAAGGGGUUCGAAAGCGUGGGUAGCAAACAGG